This 253-nucleotide ribosomal RNA is filed under the name uncultured bacterium. Its description in RNAcentral is "partial 16S ribosomal RNA". It matches the Rfam family "Bacterial small subunit ribosomal RNA", at positions 524 to 776 of the family's 1533-position model. The record is from RNAcentral.
UACGAAGGGUGCAAGCGUUACUCGGAAUUACUGGGCGUAAAGGGCGCGUAGGCGGCCUUCUAAGUCAGACGUGAAAUCCCUCGGCUCAACCGGGGAACUGCGUCUGAGACUGAAAGGCUUGAAUCCGGGAGAGGAAUGCGGAAUUCCAGGUGUAGCGGUGAAAUGCGUAGAUAUCUGGAGGAACACCGGUGGCGAAGGCGGCAUUCUGGACCGGCAUUGACGCUGAGGCGCGAAAGCCAGGGGAGCAAACGGG